UCCCCAGUGGCCUAGGAGUUAAGGACCCAGCACUGCCACUGCUGUGGCUCAGGUUCAAUUCCUGGCCCGGGAA
This 73-nucleotide transfer RNA is filed under the name Sus scrofa (pig). It matches the Rfam family "tRNA". Rfam says of the family: Transfer RNA (tRNA) molecules are approximately 80 nucleotides in length. The record is from Rfam by way of RNAcentral. Lineage: Eukaryota; Metazoa; Chordata; Mammalia; Artiodactyla; Suidae.